AUGCUAGAACUCCAAUCCCAACCUACCAUAGAGAGUAGUCAACCACUCUCUGAGGAUGAGAUAUGCGAUCAGGUGUUGGGUAGACGACCAGGUUACUCAAAAGGCCUUGGUUGGGGAUCCAAGCCGAAGGCCCGCAGAACGGCGAGUGCAAGCAGUUCGUCGACAUCUUGUUCGCAGUCCACAGAAAAAGAGAUUGAAUUACAAGCUAAACUUCAUGAAGCUUUGGAACGGAUUGAAGUACAAGAUAGAAAUCACCAAGCAUUAGCUUCACAAGUGGAAAGUAUGAAAAAGAUGAUAGAAGAACUAACUCGUGCACAACAGGGACCACCACAUGAUCCCUAGCUCUGCGGUUUUUAGUUGUUAAAGCCAAGCAAAGGAUGAUUUCAGGCAUUGUAGCCUAGUUAAAAAGGAAAGGCAGAGUUACUAUGUAGCGUUAUACAACGUGAAAGUCUUGUCAUCUUAUCUUGCGUCUAAAAAGGCAGUUGGCAAGCGCAUCGCUCCUUUGCGUAAAUGGCUCCGCUCAAUAGGAAAGCGAGAGCAAUACCCAGGUUGGUGAGGCCAAGCCAGGGAAGCCAGAGGGCUAGAAAGUUAAGUCAGGGGAGGAACAACCCUAAACACGAUCCACUAACAAAGGGUUUUGCAACAAGCAGUGUUUAGCGACGCAGAGAGAAAAGGGUUGUAAAGGGCUGCCUUCGAGUUAGGAUGUUAAUGACUUGAGGGGAAGAGGUUGAAGAAAGGGAUUCUAGAUUCCUAAAGACCUUAACUUGAAGAUUUUUACCUUGGCGGCAAGGUGAGAACAAGGUGCAUUGCUACACAAUGAGGCGGGUAAACCAGACGUGAAGUUAGAAAAGUUGUGCAAGACAAAGGGAGGUUGUAAGAUUAUGUCUUAAGUCUUGUUGUAAGGAAAAAUUUAAAGUUUUAUUUGAACCUUGUAAAAGUGUUAAGUUAAUAAAGAAAAGUUUUGUUUUUA
Molecule: long non-coding RNA, 970 nt
Organism: Cucumis melo (muskmelon)
Lineage: Eukaryota; Viridiplantae; Streptophyta; Magnoliopsida; Cucurbitales; Cucurbitaceae
Exons: 2
Source: RefSeq, a predicted model, not a curated record